UGCCCUUGUGCCCACUAUCCUCCCAGGCCACAGUGCAGAACCAUGGUCGGAAGGGUGCUUGAGGUCUGUUUUGUAACAGGACUUUGAAGGCAGCACCAUGGAGCUCUUCGUUUUUAAUGAUGCCAGACAAGGCUAUUAUUGGAAAAAGAAAUGUGAAGCCAAAAAAUUCCUGUACCUUCAUGGUCACUGGAGGCCAAGACUCUCCUUCUUCUUAGAGGAUUUGGAUAUUCUUAAAAAAAAAAAUCAAGCAAUAGCAAAGGGCUCAGUGUCUUUCCUUUAUUUUUUGGAU
RNAcentral lists this long non-coding RNA (289 nucleotides) under Homo sapiens (human). RNAcentral's name for it is "non-protein coding lnc-PELO-2:1". The record is from RNAcentral. Lineage: Eukaryota; Metazoa; Chordata; Mammalia; Primates; Hominidae.